AAACUAAAAACAGUAACAAGGUUAGCAGUACCUGUUCAAGUUAAUUUUCCUUAAUAAAUUUCUUCUCCCCCUUUUUUGAUCAGAAACAAAAAGAAUAAAGAAAAGAAAUCUCCCCCUAAAAAUGAGCUCCCCCUCAACAAAGGCAUCAAAUGUCCCAAAAUAAGCUCAUUAUAUUAAAGAUAAAGGAGAGUACAUGAAUAUAAAGACAUCAAAAUGCAUAAAGACUGAGUCUAAAAAUACAAUCAGAAGCUAUUUAACUCAGAUCCUCUUCGCAUCUUUGAAGAUGGAAGGCCAAUAGAAACCACAGUCAAGCACCCUGUGAGCUGUUCUUUGUAUCCUCAGAUGACCACUAGGUAAGGAGGCAUGAAAAAAC
RNAcentral lists this long non-coding RNA (373 nucleotides) under Vigna radiata. RNAcentral describes it as "long non-coding RNA (VRAD_LNC004240)". The record is from RNAcentral. Lineage: Eukaryota; Viridiplantae; Streptophyta; Magnoliopsida; Fabales; Fabaceae.